Long non-coding RNA from Mya arenaria, 298 nucleotides. RefSeq lists it as uncharacterized. The record is from RefSeq and is a predicted model, not a curated record. The transcript has 3 exons. Lineage: Eukaryota; Metazoa; Mollusca; Bivalvia; Myida; Myidae.
AGCGGAAAUAACGUGUCAGGCUGACGGUACCUGGAAUGACAUUCCGACGUGUGUGGAAAAUGACUGCGGACGCUUAUCAAUUGCUAAUGCAAACGUUACCGUAUCUGAUGGAACAUUGCUGGGAGCAUCUGCUACAGUCGCCUGCAACGAUGGAUACACGUUAAAUGGACAAACCCAAUCAGUGUGUCUUUCGACUGGUUGGGAUCCAGUGGCAUCUUGUGACAUAAUAGAUUGUUUUGAUGUAUCCAUUGAACAUGGUACCGCUUCUUUUACGACUGGAACGACGUAUGGAGGACUC